Engraulis encrasicolus (European anchovy) is the source of this 788-nucleotide long non-coding RNA. RefSeq lists it as uncharacterized. The record is from RefSeq and is a predicted model, not a curated record. NCBI's taxonomy places the organism in Eukaryota, Metazoa, Chordata, Actinopteri, Clupeiformes, Engraulidae. The transcript is spliced from 7 exons.
CCACACACAAGCCACAAAGAAGCCAUCAGCCGCGGUCAACAGCACCUUCCUGAUUGAACAGAACCACGCGUUGUCUGUGUGGUUUACAAGUUUCUUGGCGAUAUGGGGGGAAAGUUCCUCACAUACCAACGGAAAAUGGGCUUCAUAUACAUGCUGCUGUCUCAUAAUAUGGCGAAGACGAGUCACCUGAAGGCCUAACUCGCCAUAGAAGACUGAAAGAAUUGUCCUGCAGGAUGCUGUGUCCUGCAAUCCUGUGUGCUGUGCUACAGACGCGUGUGGAGGUCAACCCAAAAUGGGCACAGUCACCACAGAAGAGUGAAAGAGGAUCCUGGCAGGGAGACGGUAGUGUCCUGCAGAAUGGUGAUGGGCCAAUCUUACAAGAGACCACAGAAAACUGAUAUAGUGAACUAUAGAAACAACAGUGCCUGCUGCAGUAUAACGAGGACACCCUGAGCAGAGAGCUCCAAUAGACCCAGGUCCAGUGUCUUGGCAGGGUGAAAUGGCACUGAUAUGGUGUCCUGCAGGAUGCUGUGUCCUGCAAUCCUGUGUGCUGUGCUACAGACGCGUGUGGAGGUCAACCCAAAAUGGGCACAGUCUCACCACAGAAGAGUGAAAGAGGCUCCCAGAAGUGAGACUGAGUGCCUGUUGCAGUAUGACGAGGACGCAGUGACCAGAGACCUUCAGUAGACCCUGCUGGCAUGAUUGGCGUCUGAAGAACAUGAAAUCAACAGCAAUGUUUAUAAUGUUGUACAUACCUGUAUAGUCUGUAUUAAAAGGCAGUACCUGUA